Long non-coding RNA from Ostrea edulis (European flat oyster), 481 nucleotides. RefSeq lists it as uncharacterized. Lineage: Eukaryota; Metazoa; Mollusca; Bivalvia; Ostreida; Ostreidae. The transcript is spliced from 2 exons. The record is from RefSeq and is a predicted model, not a curated record.
UGCUCCGUCUCGAGCCGAUGUUUUGAAUGGUGACUGAUGUUCAGGGUUAGUACAAGCUGUGCAGUUGAUGUACCCAAUGACUGAUGCUGUAACUGAGAGGUUUCGGCUAACUCCAAACAACGAUAUAUAAAAAUCAAUAGCACUACGACAGCAACAACGAUCAACAGACUCCUACCAACUGGUGAAGCUGAUGGCAGACUGAUGAAGAUGGACGGAUCUGAAAUGAACGCCUGGUUGUUAGCUAUGUGCUCAUCAAUCUCCUGACGUUUUAUUUCGUUGACCUCUGUGUUUGUUGCUGCCUUCAGAGUCAGCGAGUCAGCGCUUAUCAUUCAUUACACAUAAUUCAUCGAUUUGUUUUAGUUGACGACUUGAUACAUUUUUUGCCUAGAUUAUAUAUGAUGUAAUAGAUAUUCAAAUUUUUACAACAUGUAAUCAUAAAGGCUGGUAAAUUUUGUUUUACACUAAAAGCAAUAACACUCAA